UCCAACACUGCUUCACAUAGGUUACGAGGGUUUUGACAAAAUCGCCUAUGGUCAUCCUUUGUGACGGUACUUGCGACUGGUUUCCUCAACCGUCACAACAAUUUAAAGAAAUCUCAAGGACGCGGAUAAUCAUUUUCAAAAGCCCCGCUUUCUAAUUUUUACAAGUCCCGCAAACUGUAACCCCCAAAUUCAGUCGAACGCAAACUCCCCAACAUUUUGAAAAUAAUCCUAAAUCUCUCAGUGCUCAAUCUCUGAAACAAGAAAAAAGCAACUAUCGUGCCCUACAACGAGUCGAACGACGCUGCUUCCCCUCUCUCUAGCGACGACGCAACACAACACUUCUUCAGCGACGUCGUAUAACGCACAUUCGUUUGAAUGAUGUUGUUGUGAAUAGCUCAAUGGUUGUGCCUAUGGAAACAUAUCAAUGUUCUCUCUCUCUCUCUUUUUUUUUUUGUUAUCUUAUUCCUAAAUGUCUUGGAAUGACAUAAUGCUUUUAUGACUUAUGUCUUAAUGAAAUCUUUGCCAUAUUUUCUAAA
This is a non-coding RNA of Cicer arietinum (chickpea), 536 nucleotides long. The record is from RefSeq and is a predicted model, not a curated record. Lineage: Eukaryota; Viridiplantae; Streptophyta; Magnoliopsida; Fabales; Fabaceae.